GACGAACGCUGGCGGCGUGCUUAACACAUGCAAGUCGAACGGAAAGGCUCCAGCUUGCUGGAGUACUCGAGUGGCGAACGGGUGAGUAACACGUGGGUAAUCUGCCCUGCACUCUGGGAUAAGCCUGGGAAACUGGGUCUAAUACUGGAGAUGACCUUUCGCCUUAUGGGGUUCGGUGGAAAGUUUUUCGGUUUUGGAUGAGCCCGCGGCCUAUCAGCUUGUUGGUGGGGUGUUGGCCUACCAAGGCGACGACGGGUAGCCGGCCUGAGAGGGCGAUCGGCCUCCAGGGGACUGAGAUACGGCCCAGACUCCUACGGGAGGCAGCGGGGGGGAAUAUUGCACAAUGGGCGGAAGCCUGAUGCAGCGACGCCGCGUGCGGGAUGACGGCCUUCGGGUUGUAAACCUCUUUCAGCAGAGACGAAGCGUAAGUGACGGUACCUGCAGAAGAAGCACCGGCUAACUACGUG
RNAcentral lists this ribosomal RNA (467 nucleotides) under uncultured bacterium. RNAcentral's name for it is "partial 16S ribosomal RNA". It matches the Rfam family "Bacterial small subunit ribosomal RNA", at positions 28 to 507 of the family's 1533-position model. The record is from RNAcentral.